UACGUAGGUGGCAAGCGUUGUCCGGAUUUACUGGGCGUAAAGCGUGCGUAGACGGUUAUUUAAGUCAGAUGUGAAAGCCCCGGGCUCAACCUGGGAAUUGCAUUUGAGACUGAAUAGCUAGGGUACGGUAGAGGGAAGCGGAAUUUCCGGUGUAGCGGUGAAAUGCGUAGAUAUCGGAAGGAACAUCAGUGGCGAAAGCGGCUUCCUGGACCAGUACCGACGUUCAGGCACGAAAGCGUGGGGAGCAAACAGG
Molecule: ribosomal RNA, 253 nt
Filed under: uncultured bacterium
Lineage: Bacteria
Description: partial 16S ribosomal RNA
Rfam family: Bacterial small subunit ribosomal RNA
Source: RNAcentral